GUGGAGAAAGUAGCAGUGAUCAGAACUUUGGUGCUAUUCAAGUUCGUGGUCAAAGGUGGGUUAGCAAGGAUUAGUCAAGAACAAAAAACUGAAAAGUAGUACGCAUCUGCUGCUUUGGAAGCCUGCUGAGUUAAUUCAUUCCCCACUACAUUGUUCAUUUGCUCCAAGGAAGAAGUUUUGCUGCAGAGAUCAUAUAUUAUUACAAGUGAAAAGUCGAAUUGUCAUUUUGUCCCUUUACUAAAUUAAAAUUUGAUUGAAUAUAAAUAUUUUAAUUACAUAAUGGUAGAUUUUG
Molecule: unclassified non-coding RNA, 292 nt
Filed under: Hevea brasiliensis (rubber tree)
Lineage: Eukaryota; Viridiplantae; Streptophyta; Magnoliopsida; Malpighiales; Euphorbiaceae
Source: RNAcentral